GGAAGAAUUUGGAGUUUUGGUACAAAGAGUCACAGUGGAAAAUCAGUCUGUCGGUGGGCCUGCUAAUUUUAGUUUUCUAUUGAACAUACUUCUGUCCAUAUGAAAUAUUAUAGUUGAAUUACAUUUUAGGGAACCUGAGGAUUAAAUAGAAACGUAGUUCUACUUGUUUGAACAAAGUUGAGCGGUAGCUUUUUGGAUUCCUUUGUCUACAUGUUGAACGAGUGGAUUACUGAUAUCGAUGGCUGACUUUUUGGGAUAUAAAGAAGGAUUUUAUCGAACAAAACGACCAUUCAUGUUGUAGCUGGGACCCUUGGGAUUGCAAACAGAGGAACAUUUUCAAAAGACCAACACUCUUUCAUUGUGGAGUAUCAUGUUCCUGUGGCACCUGGAGGUAUGGCAGACAUCUUUGACCAGCUGGAGUCUAACAAGGCCACUUUGCAGAUCAAGCACUUCUCUGUCAGCCAGACUACCCUGGAUGAGCAGAGCGAGAGAGACAGGGAGAGGAAGGGAGAUGGAGAAAGUCUUCAUGAACUUUGCCAUGGGGAAGGUUGGCAUGGAGACAAUUCCAAUCCACAGCGAAGAAGGUUCCGAAGCACACAGCAUAAGCCUCGAAUCCAUUGAGGCUUCAGAUACAUAGCUUUGGCGGCUAUCUUGUUCACAUUACAACGUGUCUGUCGACAUGUCUGUCUGUCUGAGGACACCCACUGUGAAGGAAGAAGAGCAACAAUCAACCUGGGCUGGAAAUGAAUAAAUGGAUCUGCAUGUGUUUAAUAAUAAUGUAAACAUUAAAUUAAUUCAACUUUUAAUUAAUUUACUUUAUUUUAAUUGUAUAAUUUUGCUUUGGUUCUGUUAUCAGUUUAUCAAAUCACUGUAUCACAUAUACCUUAUAAAGGAUAACUUAUGAAGUCACUUUGUGGCCACUUCGGACUGUUAAAUUGAACCGGGUUGCUCUAUUGAUGUUUCAUCAUGUAAUGAGAAUCUGUCACGGUUGUCGUCAGUUAAGGAGGACCAAAAUGCCGCAGGUAUGUGUAAACUCAUCUUCUUUAUUAUAUGGAAAGAAGGAAAACCCAAAAUAAACACGUAUACAAAAGAAACACACCGACAAUAAACAGUCCUGUAAGGCUUGAUGCUAUACACAGAACAAUCUCCCACAAUUAAACAGACAAACACACCCAACUAAUAUAGGACUUCCAAUCAAAGGCAACACCACACAGCUGCCUUCAAUUGGAAGUCCACCCCAAUUAACC
This 1247-nucleotide long non-coding RNA is filed under the name Salmo salar (Atlantic salmon). RNAcentral describes it as "lncRNA (ENSSSAG00000105478.1)". The record is from RNAcentral. Lineage: Eukaryota; Metazoa; Chordata; Actinopteri; Salmoniformes; Salmonidae.